UGCAGGGUGAAAAAGGGAAGCAAGGACCUCAAGGAGAAGAUGGUUCACCAGCUGAUGGGGAUCUACUGUUGUUGGAAGGAGAGAAAGGAGACAUGGGUCCACCUGGAGAGGAAGGAGAUCGAGGCGAAUUUGAAAUUGUUACUCCACCUGAAAAAGAUAUUCC
Molecule: long non-coding RNA, 163 nt
Organism: Pocillopora damicornis (cauliflower coral)
Lineage: Eukaryota; Metazoa; Cnidaria; Anthozoa; Scleractinia; Pocilloporidae
Source: RefSeq, a predicted model, not a curated record